This 150-nucleotide non-coding RNA is filed under the name bovine gut metagenome. The record is from RNAcentral.
GUUCCGUCAUAUUGACGGCUAAGAGGGAAACAGGUGUAAAUCCUGUGCGGACCCGCCACUGUAAGCGACGGCUUUGAGCAAAGUGCCACUGAGAGAAUUUGGGAAGGCGUUCAAGGCGAUAAUCGUGAGCCAGGAGACCUGCAUUCAAGA